UACGUAGGCAGCGAGCGUUGUUCGGAGUUACUGGGCGUAAAGGGUGUGUAGGCGGUGAUUUAAGUUUGGUGUGAAAUCUCCCGGCUCAACCGGGAGGGUGCGCCGAAUACUGAAUGACUUGGAGUGCGGGAGAGGAAAGUGGAAUUCCUGGUGUAGCGGUGAAAUGCGUAGAUAUCAGGAGGAACACCGGUGGUGUAGACGGCUUUCUGGACCGUAACUGACGCUGAGACACGAAAGCGUGGGUAGCAAACAGG
This 254-nucleotide ribosomal RNA is filed under the name uncultured bacterium. Its description in RNAcentral is "partial 16S ribosomal RNA". It matches the Rfam family "Bacterial small subunit ribosomal RNA", at positions 524 to 776 of the family's 1533-position model. The record is from RNAcentral.